GGAGUUGGCCAUGCCACCCUGAAUGCACCCAAUCUCGUCUGAUCUUGGAAGCUAAGCAGGGUUGGGCUUGGUUAGUACUUGGAUGGGAGACCACCUAGGAAUACCAGGUGCUGUAGGCG
Molecule: ribosomal RNA, 119 nt
Filed under: Pteropus alecto (black flying fox)
Lineage: Eukaryota; Metazoa; Chordata; Mammalia; Chiroptera; Pteropodidae
Source: RNAcentral